UGGGUGAUCUGCCCUGCACUUUGGGAUAAGCCUGGGAAACUGGGUCUAAUACCGAAUACCCCUUGCUGGCCGCAUGGUCUGGUGGGGGAAAGCUUUUGCGGUGUGGGAUGGGCCCGCGGCCUAUCAGCUUGUUGGUGGGGUGAUGGCCUACCAAGGCGACGACGGGUAGCCGGCCUGAGAGGGUGACCGGCCACACUGGGACUGAGACACGGCCCAGACUCCUACGGGAGGCA
RNAcentral lists this ribosomal RNA (233 nucleotides) under uncultured bacterium. RNAcentral's name for it is "partial 16S ribosomal RNA". It matches the Rfam family "Bacterial small subunit ribosomal RNA", at positions 118 to 350 of the family's 1533-position model. The record is from RNAcentral.